Molecule: long non-coding RNA, 663 nt
Organism: Lampris incognitus (smalleye Pacific opah)
Lineage: Eukaryota; Metazoa; Chordata; Actinopteri; Lampriformes; Lampridae
Exons: 3
Source: RefSeq, a predicted model, not a curated record
GAGCGCUCGGCUCGCGCUCUGAGGAGACGAGAGCUGCACUGCACCAGGUGUUUGCCAUCAUCCAUCAGGCACACCUGCGGCAAUCAGGCAGCCCUCUACAAGAAGUCUCCCAGGACUACUGAACCCUGCGACUCUCCCUCCGCGACUUCCACGGCUCCCCGCGUCUCCCUCGUCCCCAGCGACCUUCACGUUUUUCCCCGGACCUCUCCUGCGAUCUCCCCCGUGUCUCUCUACCUGGACCCCUCCUUUCGGACUUGACUUCCCGGAUCUCGGAACCGGACUUCCUCGGACAACCCCUUUUGGAUCACGGACUGGACUUGCUUGCCAGACUCUCCCUCCGCGACUUCCACGACUCCCCGCGUCUCCCUCGUCCCCAGCGACCUUCACGUUUUUCCCCGGACCUCUCCAGCGAUCUCCCCCCGUGUCCCUCUACCUGGACCCCACCUUUCGGACUCGACCCGGACUUCCUCGGACAACCCCUUUUGGAUCACGGACUGGACUUUCUUGCCAGGUGCACGCACAUUAUUCAACACCUCUUUGUCAUUUACAUACCGCACCACACAUAGGCUAAGAACACUCACAAAUAGUUAUACAAGCAAACCACGGGACACCACACGUAGUUUAUUCACACAUCCCACUAACAGAACGCUUUUGCACCAUGCA